CAUAUUAAAGUUUAUUAUGAAUUUUUCCGUUACAUCGAAAAGGGCUCAUCUAUUGAGUAAUAUGAAAA
This 68-nucleotide transfer RNA is filed under the name Chonaphe armata. RNAcentral describes it as "tRNA-Val". The record is from RNAcentral. Lineage: Eukaryota; Metazoa; Arthropoda; Diplopoda; Polydesmida; Xystodesmidae.